AAGUCUUCAUGAAGUCCGGUCACAUGAAUGAGAGCCCUUUCUUACGUUUUCCACUGAGGCAUUCUCUCCUACCCCUUCUCACAGUGACCAUAUAAGUGCAGAACCAGUGAUAGCUCCUGGAUCAUCAUUUCCAGUUGUGCUAUGAACUUACUCAAGCCCAAGUAAAGACACCGUCCCAGGUGGCCAGCUGGGUAACAUCAGCUUGAAGUGAAAUGACCAAGAACAAUAUUCUCUUUAGCUUCCUUAAUAUGUGUCAAGAUUUUCCCUAGAAUUCACAUUCCUGGGCUUCUGAACAAAGCACUGAAUUACCAGACUCAACUCCCCGGUGAGAACUGCAAAACCAAGCAACCUUUGAUAUAUUUUCCUUCCAAUAUUUAGAACAAAAUGAAAGAAAACAAAACCCUGAGAUGGGCAUUUCAGAAUGUGGGCUCCUAAAACCAGCACUUGAAAUACUUCCAGGAAUGCCAGCCAGAACAGAAAGACCACUGGCAGCAAUCUCCAAAGCACACUCAAAAGAUCCACAGGUGGCCAGAUGGUGCCAUGACACAGCCAAGGCUUCCCCAAGGGCCCCAGGAUGGAAGAAAAUACCAGGGCUCUGUCAGAGACAAGCCUGCAUCUGCCAGUGUAAAGAACCUUUCCUAGCCAAGUUAUGACAAUAGUCAUGGGAAUACGUUCCUGUCUUCCACUGCCUUUCCUCAGAUGUGCACCUAAUGUCCAAGAGGAGAUUUAUUGCAAAUGCCUUCACAGUCAUCAGGAUAGAGAAGGAGUACUCAGGGUCUGGGCUUUGCUUUUCUCUUAAGAGGAAACUCUGUUAGAAAUAAAAAGGUCUACAGGA
Molecule: long non-coding RNA, 835 nt
Organism: Homo sapiens (human)
Lineage: Eukaryota; Metazoa; Chordata; Mammalia; Primates; Hominidae
Exons: 2
Source: RefSeq, a predicted model, not a curated record